This 882-nucleotide long non-coding RNA is filed under the name Bos taurus (domestic cattle). RNAcentral's name for it is "long non-coding RNA NONBTAT019312". Lineage: Eukaryota; Metazoa; Chordata; Mammalia; Artiodactyla; Bovidae. The record is from RNAcentral.
CUCUGAUUAGCUUGCUAAAAUGAUUCAAGCAAAAAACAUAAAUUUUGUUCACUAUCUCAGAGGAAAAAAAUUUUAGAGAGUCAAUAGCAAAAUGGAUUUUUUUUAAAAAUCCUUAACACAAAGCCAAAAUCAACUUACAAAAGAUUUUCAUGAUGAACACAGGAAAAAUUGUUGAAAGAUGAUCUCCUGGCUACCCAUUUUCCCACAUAACAUAACCUAUACUUACUCACAUUUAUUCCUACCAAAAUAAUUCUAAUUUCAACAUAUUUAUGUAACCUGUGAUUUCAAUGGUUGUUCUACAUUUACAUUAUAUAUCAUUAGGCCCAUUAUGGGUUAACAAAUAUGCCUUAAAAAUCAGAAUCCCCCCCUACCCACUAUGCUCAUGUGGCCAUUUACAGUUCUUAGAACAAAAAUGGAUUUUAAAAUAUUCAGCUAAAAUUUUAUUGGAAAGAGAAUUGACACAUUUGGAGAAAUUGAAAGUAGGUCUUUAAAAUAUGAUCCAAGUGAAAAUUAUAUUGAGAAUACUUUUUCUUUUUUCUCUCAUUUUCUUUUAUUCUUUUAAAAAUUCUAGUUUGAUAGUGAAAAAGAAUCGGACUAUGAGCUAUUUUAAAGAAUCAAGGAAGAAUUGGUAUUGAUUAUAUAGUAUUUAAGGACAAAUUAUAUAUUUUGCUGUUUAUGGUAGUAACUCACUGAAUAAAAUAAGUAAUUGGCCAACAUUAAGUAUAUUUCCAACACAGAAGGGUUCAAAACAUUACAUUAUAAACUCUUUUGGGAAAUGUAUCUAAAGGGUUUUUUUUUUUUAAGUUCUGUUCUUAUUCUACUUUUUGUUUGGUUGUAUUUUUAUUUUCAGAUAGAUUAAUAAAUCUGGCAGCUGAUUUCUGC